This 447-nucleotide ribosomal RNA is filed under the name uncultured bacterium. RNAcentral describes it as "partial 16S ribosomal RNA". It matches the Rfam family "Bacterial small subunit ribosomal RNA", at positions 29 to 523 of the family's 1533-position model. The record is from RNAcentral.
AGCGAACGCUGGCGGCAGGAUUAACACAUGCACGUCGAACGCCCCGCAAGGGGAGUGGCAGACGGGUGAGUAACACGUGGGAACGUACCCUUUGGUCCGGAAUAACUUGGGGAAACCCAAGCUAAUACCGGAUAAGCCCUUAUGGGGAAAGGUUUACUGCCGAAGGAUCGGCCCGCGUCUGAUUAGCUAGUUGGUGAGGUAAUGGCUCACCAAGGCGACGAUCAGUAGCUGGUCUGAGAGGAUGAUCAGCCACACUGGGGCUGAGACACGGCCCAGAAUCCUACGGGAGGCAGCAGUGGGGAAUAUAGGACAAUGGGGGCAACCAUGAUCCAGCCAUGCCGCGUGAGUGAUGAAGGCCUUAGGGUUGUAAAGCUCUUUUACCCGGGACGAUAAUGACUGUACCGGGAGAAUAAGCCCCGGCUAACUUCGUGCCAGCCGCCGCAGUAA